RNAcentral lists this ribosomal RNA (255 nucleotides) under uncultured bacterium. RNAcentral describes it as "partial 16S ribosomal RNA". It matches the Rfam family "Bacterial small subunit ribosomal RNA", at positions 99 to 354 of the family's 1533-position model. The record is from RNAcentral.
CGGACGGGUGAGUAACGCGUGGGUAACCUGCCUCAUACAGGGGGAUAACAGUUAGAAAUGACUGCUAAUACCGCAUAAGCGCACAGGACCGCAUGGUCCGGUGUGAAAAACUCCGGUGGUAUGAGAUGGACCCGCGUCUGAUUAGCUGGUUGGUGAGGUAACGGCCCACCAAGGCGACGAUCAGUAGCCGGCCUGAGAGGGUGAACGGCCACAUUGGGACUGAGACACGGCCCAAACUCCUACGGAAGGCAGCAG